GAUGAACGCUGACAGAAUGCUUAACACAUGCAAGUCAACUUGAAUUUGGGUUUUUAACUUAGGUUUGGGUGGCGGACGGGUGAGUAACGCGUAAAGAACUUGCCUCACAGCUAGGGACAACAUUUGGAAACGAAUGCUAAUACCUAAUAUUAUGAUAAUAGGGCAUCCUAUAAUUAUGAAAGCUAUAAGCGCUGUGAGAGAGCUUUGCGUCCCAUUAGCUAGUUGGAGAGGUAACGGCUCACCAAGGCGAUGAUGGGUAGCCGGCCUGAGAGGGUGAUCGGCCACAAGGGGACUGAGACACGGCCCUUACUCCUACGGGAGGCAGCAGUGGGGAAUAUUGGACAAUGGACCGAGAGUCUGAUCCAGCAAUUCUGUGUGCACGAUGAAGUUUUUCGGAAUGUAAAGUGCUUUCAGUUGGGAAGAAACAAAUGACGGUACCAACAGAAGAAGUGACGGCUAAAUACGUG
Molecule: ribosomal RNA, 467 nt
Filed under: uncultured bacterium
Lineage: Bacteria
Description: partial 16S ribosomal RNA
Rfam family: Bacterial small subunit ribosomal RNA
Source: RNAcentral